This 624-nucleotide ribosomal RNA is filed under the name Alexandrium ostenfeldii. RNAcentral's name for it is "LSU rRNA". It matches the Rfam family "Eukaryotic large subunit ribosomal RNA", at positions 43 to 612 of the family's 3401-position model. The record is from RNAcentral. Lineage: Eukaryota; Dinophyceae; Gonyaulacales; Pyrocystaceae.
UAAGUAGGCGGUGGAAAAUGAACCAAAUGGGAUUCCUUAAGUAAUUGCGAAUGAACAAGGAAUUGCUCAGCUUGAAAAUUGGGGCCUUCGGCCUUGAAUUGUAAUUUUGAAAUGUAUUGCCAAUGGAGGCGCAGGUGCAAGCCUAUUGAAAGAAAGCGUCAAUGAGGGUGAGAUUCCUUUUUGUCAUUUGCAGUCCUCCGUGCACGGUGUAUAUUUGACGAGUCACACUCCUCGGCAUUGGAAUGCAAAGUGGGUGGUAAAUUCCAUGUAAAGGAAAAUAUAUUAUUGAGACUGAUAGCAAACAAGUACCAUGAGGGAAAUAUGAAAAGGACUUUGAAAAGAGAAUUAAAAGAGUCUGCAUUUGCUGAACAGAAAGCAAACAGAAUUGAUCUACUUGGUGAGAUUGUUGCGUCCACUUGUGGGCGCAAUGGUUCUUGCCUUGGAUGUCAGCGUCUAUUUCUGCAAAUCAUUACCCUUGCACAUGAAUGGUAAUUUGCCUGUGGGCAUUGGAAUGCAUGUGUUUGCAAUGAUUUGUGUUUUGAUACAUGUGUCUGGCGUUCGUGUGUGUGCCUUCUUGCCAACAGGGGAGGGCUCUCCUCCCUGGGCACUGCAAAGCCCUUGCAC